UGUUUCCCGUCGUUAUACUAUAUUAACAUUUAUAAUACUUCGAAUAAACAAAGCAUCCGUUUUGCUUACAAUUAACCAAGUAUUACCGCGUCAACGUUUCCUAAACCAUAGUAUACCACGAGCAUCGCUAUCAAAUUCCAAAAUAUUACACUUAAGCAAACCAUUAACCUCGAUUUCGCUCGUCAGUAUCAACGAUCAUGGCGCAACGACCACGAAAACCCGUAUCAGAUACAUUCGUCGGCGCUAAAGCGCAGUUUCGAAACGAGUUGCCGUCGUGGCCGCUAUACAAGAACACUUUUGAAACGGGCUGCGCCAUAAUUUCGCGAGCACGGCAACACGUCCGCUCUAGCAGGGUGCAGUUUUACCGUGGCGCAAACUAGCGUCUCGUACGUGGCGAAUGACCGCUUUCAUAGUGAUAGACACGCAACAGGCCAUCGACGUUCCCGUGUUACGUCUCAGCUUGGCGGGCUUUCACGCCUUUAACGUCGUCGUAACUCGUCGCGAAAAACUCAAUUAUCCGACCGCGAAAUACCUGAACCGAUAACGGAACGAUAAUGCGGCUCGAGCUCGAGUGGCUAUCGAUUAUCGUCUCAUUAUCAUUAUCAUAACCGAGAUCUCGUUAAAACCGAUAAAAAGUAUACGGAAUUAACGUGCUUCGCGUAUCGAUCAUACGAUGUAUCGAGUGUUCGCUGGUGUUUGCGAAGAUUGUGAAUUGCGAAAGUUUCUGCAGGUUUACCGUAUAUAAUAUGCAGAGGCUUUGUGGUGAAAAGUAAAAGAUUUAAUUCUUCAGAUGGAAUUCUCCGAAUAAUUUGUGAAAAAUGAAAGUUGGCGUUGGAGGUUCGACGAUAGAGAAGAAUUUGUAAGGAGAGACAAGCAGCCAAAGGGGCUGGCCACGCGAACAUUGACGCUCACAUUUAUUCACAGGGAUUCUUGCCACGAUUCACACGCAUUCGGCGCGUACGCCUGUUCGUUCACACGUGCCAGGCAAUUUUGCCAUAACGUCGAGAAGUAUGCGGCGGAGACGAGCGGGCCGAGCGUAAAUCCAGCCAGGGGGCUGGCUGAGGCUUGAUUUCACCGUGCGCGCGUGGAAACAACUCGAAACUCACGGAGAGAGAGACGAUACUUUCGAGCGUGUACCGUUUACACGGAAAUGCACGCGCGGGUGAGCGCGCGGCCGUUCGCGAGUCAGCAAACCGUGCGGAAUGUCGACUGACGUAACGUCACCGAAAUUGAACGGCACCCUGGCUGUCUCGCGUAAUCGAAGCCUCGUUCGACUCGACGGCCACGCGUCCACAGAUUGUUAAGGGGUUGCUUUCGAUUCGAAUAUUUGCCAGUAGAUUUUUAUUGCCAGUAGACUGUGCGUAUUUCUGCAAAUUCAUACUUUCUGCGAAAAAAAUUGGGCUUAGGUAGAGAAUGCUUUUAGCUGUUAACCCUCAGCGAUGGACAUAUUUUUCUGGUGACAAUACAACGGUGGCGACGUCCAAUUUUGAGACGAAUUUUAAAUGUCGCCAAAAAAAAAAGAAAGAAAAAAAAAGGAAAAUGGUAAAAGGAUAUAAAAUUUGCAUGCUUCGGUAAUAAAUUUGUAUAAGCGUUAAUAACCCAAAAACGAGGCUACAUUUGUAACUUUAAUCACAUACUUUACCGCAAACAUAUUUUACCGCGUUUCCAGGCUAUUUUAAUAUUUCCAGCGUGUUUGACAUUUCCUGCGCAAGCAUCAAAAUACACGCAUAACGGUGCGUGACUUUUAGAAUCGAAACUCGGGCGGAACACGUUCGAAGCAUUUACGAAUGCGCCAUUAAUCAAGCCGAUAUUUCCCGUGUUUCAGAUGUUGCAGAAGCGUCGGUGAAUUUAACGUUAUCGUCGCUUAUAGCUUCAUUUACGUACAAACACGCAUAAGUGCUUGUACGUGCGUAUUCGCAGAUGCGACCUCCGUCCCUGUGGAAUUCUAGAGCUGGUCAAUGUAUAGUUACAUACAUACGGAACAUACCACCGAACCGGCAACUAGACACGAGUGUUUACCCCCCUGUGUGAUCCUUACGUUGCCUGCAAUUUAUAGGAAAAAAGUUCUACGAGAUUAUUCUAACUAUGCCACACACGUGUGUUUUCUAGAUACACGUGUACGUUUAUAUAUAAAACAGACGCUAUCGAUUCUUGUGAAAAAAAUUAUAUUACAAAUUGCGAUAAAUAAACUUUUUACACCUAUCGCUUCGAUUUUUCUUCGAUAUUAACUAAUAGGUAACACUCGACUGAUACCAACUAAUUCUGCUACAGACAAGCCUUUUGUAACAUGGUUAACUCGUUCCGCGUUAUAUCGAAAUCAGGUUUCCAAGUGUGUGUUAACAGCAAGUACUUAAUACUAAGGAAGACUGCAAGACCCUGGAUAUCUUCACCUUAAGGGAUCUAUGUAUAUAGAUCGUCGAGCGGAACGCGUGAGCUGGAAUCGGAAAGGUCAGAGGAUCUCGUGGCAAUGCGUCAUCGAGUAGGCAAACAGGACACCGAUCGAAGCGAGCGUUCCUAUCCCUAGGACGACGCACACCGUACGCCACACAUCGGUCGUACAAUUCGUCGCUGCCGUGGGCUGUCAACGUAAUUACACGUACAGGGACCAUUAGACACGCGCGACGCUUACAAACGACUCAAACCACCUGCGAAAUCGUCACUUUGUUCCGCAGUUAAAUCAUGCCAAACUCGAACGACCCUGUGUACAGAUGCGUUCUACCUCGUUGCUGCAAUCGAUAUACGACCAAUGUCUAGAAAUGUCUGAAAAAGGUGAAGAUUAUCGUCGUCGAGAAUUAUGAUCGGAGUAUAAUCGAAAGAUAUCGUUAGAGUUCUUCUCUCUACCUUGCACGAAGAUGUGUCUGACGAUGAGAUCUGAAACACUUGGAAUCGCUUCGAACCUGUACUGUAUUUUAUGUGGCGGCAAAUUCGAAUCCCUUUGAACAUGAUCCGAAAUUUAGAACUCUCGAAAGCUUUGAUAAACGUUGAGAUACAUGGCCAGAAGUAAAAUACAGGAAGAUAUUCACGCGAUCGGUGUAUUCGGCUAAUAGAGUAGCUGAGCACGUACAGUUUAACCGAUACAGUUUCCAGUUUUAUAAUUGUACAAUUGUCCAGUUUUAUAAUUUUCAAAAACGUAGAUAGUAGAAUUAUAUAUAAAGAAACAUAUAAACAAAUCAAGAGCGUAAUUUUUCUUUCAUUUUUGCUCUUAGAACGACGGAAUACCAGCUUGCAGAUGUGAUAUGCAAAUCUGAAAAAUAUACACAUAAUAUGCAAAUUUAAUACGCAAAAGGUAUAACACAAAUGAUACAAGAGAAAUUUCUAAUGAACAAUUUUUUAUUGGGAUUACCUGUCUUUUUAGGAAAUAAGAAAGUUUGCAAAAGUCUGUAUUUCGGAGGUUUCAGAAAUUAUGUUCAUCGUCUGCCACGAAAAUUACAUAGCUUACAUACGGUCUCCAUCGAGAUCAAAAUAAAAGUCUGUAAAACACGUUCCAGUUCCCAUGGCGACACACGACCGAACAAGAAAUCCAUUUCCCUCGUGUGGAACACUUUCUGUGUUUCAAUGAAAGGAACUGGAGAUGAAUUUACCGAUCAACGGCUGGAGGUUUAUACGGCGGCUUGUGCCUGACAGAAACAUUUUCUAAGAUCGAUUCUCGCGAAUCGCACGAAAACGAAUUUCUCGUGGGCAAAACUAAAAUUAUAUAGUAACACCGUAUUGCUGCCUGUCCUAUAUCAUAAAGAUAUCUUUG
Bombus impatiens (common eastern bumble bee) is the source of this 3742-nucleotide long non-coding RNA. RefSeq lists it as uncharacterized. The transcript has 3 exons. Lineage: Eukaryota; Metazoa; Arthropoda; Insecta; Hymenoptera; Apidae. The record is from RefSeq and is a predicted model, not a curated record.